RNAcentral lists this ribosomal RNA (308 nucleotides) under uncultured bacterium. RNAcentral describes it as "bacterial SSU rRNA". It matches the Rfam family "Bacterial small subunit ribosomal RNA", at positions 29 to 365 of the family's 1533-position model. The record is from RNAcentral.
AGCGAACGCUGGCGGCAGGCUUAACACAUGCAAGUCGAACGGGCGUAGCAAUACGUCAGUGGCAGACGGGUGCGUAACGCGUGGGAAUAUACCUUUUGGUUCGGAACAACUGCGGGAAACUGCAGCUAAUACCGAAUGUGCCCUAACGGGAAAGAUUAUCGCCAAAGGAUUAGCCCGCGUAGGAUUAGCUAGUUGGUGAGGUAAUGGCUCACCAAGGCUCCGAUCCUUAGCGUUCUGAGAGGAAGAUCAGCCACACUGGGACUGAGACACGGCCCAGACUCCUACGGGAGGCAGCAGUUGGGAAUCUU